This is a long non-coding RNA of Oncorhynchus tshawytscha (Chinook salmon), 276 nucleotides long. NCBI's taxonomy places the organism in Eukaryota, Metazoa, Chordata, Actinopteri, Salmoniformes, Salmonidae. The record is from Ensembl.
UGAAAGGAGGACACCACCGCUGAUAGUGAAGGAUAAGGAGGAUGGAAAGGUGACAAAGUUUGAAGUGAGGGAAAUGGUAGAGGACGACAAUCUGUCUCUCCACUCCUUGGAUGAUUCAGACUUUCUGAUUAUUGUGGCCAAGCCCAACAUCCUUCUCCCUCCCUCUGUGAGUGCCCUGAAGAAGGCAUCACGCCUGAUGGAGUUGGUCCCUACUGUCCGGCCCUGCAGGGAGCAGCUGGACAAGAAGACACAGUGGACCAACACCAACGAGGAGAG